RNAcentral lists this ribosomal RNA (229 nucleotides) under uncultured bacterium. RNAcentral describes it as "partial 16S ribosomal RNA". It matches the Rfam family "Bacterial small subunit ribosomal RNA", at positions 568 to 796 of the family's 1533-position model. The record is from RNAcentral.
UGCGCAGGUGGGCUUGUAAGUCAGUGGUGAAAUCUUGCCGCUUAACGGUAAAAUUGCCAUUGAUACUGCAAGUCUUGAGUAUGGUUGAGGUAGGUGGAGUGUGUUGUGUAGCGGUGAAAUGCAUAGAUAUGACACAGAACGCCGAUUGCGAAGGCAACUUACUAAGCCAUUACUGACGCUGAGGCACGAAAGCGUGGGGAGCGAACAGGAUUAGAUACCCUGGUAGUCC